This 306-nucleotide unclassified non-coding RNA is filed under the name fungal sp. RNAcentral's name for it is "partial internal transcribed spacer region". The stretch from base 1 to 45 matches the Rfam family "Eukaryotic small subunit ribosomal RNA", at positions 1787 to 1831 of the family's 1831-position model. Lineage: Eukaryota; Fungi. The record is from RNAcentral.
AGUCGUAACAAGGUUUUCGUAGGUGAACCUGCGGAAGGAUCAUUAACAACUUUAAAAAAAAAAGAACUUUUAGUACGUUUUGUAAACAUACAAAUAAAAAAAACAUGGUAACUUAUUAGGGAAAGGGAGGGUAGUUAAAGGGGUUACGUACCCUUUUAAUAACCCCCCCUCUCUCUACUGAGUAACUAUGUAUAAUUAUUUAUAUAUAAAAUAACGAAUAUAAUAUUUUCAUCAUCAUCGUAUAUUAUAUGAUUGUCAAUUGAGAAAAAUUAUAAAAAACCUUUGGCAGCGGAUAACUCGGCUCUU